Molecule: ribosomal RNA, 590 nt
Filed under: uncultured fungus
Lineage: Eukaryota; Fungi
Description: eukaryotic LSU rRNA
Rfam family: 5.8S ribosomal RNA (bases 207-361)
Source: RNAcentral
CAUUACUGAAAUGUCAACAAGGGUUGUUGCUGGUCCUCAAAUGGGGACAUGUGCACGCUCUGUUCACACAUCCACUCACACCUGUGCACCCUCUGUAGUUCCAUGGUCAGGGGGGCCUGUCCCCUCCUGCUAUGGUCCUGCGUCUUUACACACACACUGUAACAAAGUCUCAUGGAAUGCAUGCCGCGUUUAACGCAAUACAAUACAACUUUCAGCAACGGAUCUCUUGGCUCUCGCAUCGAUGAAGAACGCAGCGAAAUGCGAUAAGUAAUGUGAAUUGCAGAAUUCAGUGAAUCAUCGAAUCUUUGAACGCACCUUGCGCCCUUUGGCCAUUCCGAAGGGCAUGCCUGUUUGAGUAUCAUGAACACCUCAACUCUUCAUGGUUUUCCAUGAUGAGCUUGGACUCUGGGGGUCUUGCUGGCCUGUGGUCGGCUCCUCUCAAAUGAAUCAGCUUGCCGGUGUUUGGUGGGCAUCACAGGUGUGAUAACUAUCUACGCUUGUGGUUUUCCACCAGGGUAACCUUCAGCAGUGGAGGUUCACUGGAGCUCACAAAUGUCUCUCCUCAGUGAGGACAGCCCUUUAAAUGUUUG